This is a long non-coding RNA of Corvus hawaiiensis (hawaiian crow), 5227 nucleotides long. RefSeq lists it as uncharacterized. The record is from RefSeq and is a predicted model, not a curated record. Lineage: Eukaryota; Metazoa; Chordata; Aves; Passeriformes; Corvidae. The transcript is spliced from 2 exons.
CCGGGGCGCCGCCGCGCAGGUCGGCCCGUCCCCGCGGGGCUCGCCCGGCACCGGGGGCGGUGGCACCGGACAGCGGCGCGGGCCGGGCCCGUCCUCCUCUUCCUGAUAGCGGGUCAGGCUUCGGAGAGUCGCUCCUCUUAUUUUCUCUUUCCUGUCUCCUGCAGAGACUUAAUAAAGAGCCGCCGACUUCGUGUUUGGACGACAAUAGUGCUGUCAUACUAACGUGAGGAUGGAGCUCAGAAAAGGAUAAAUACUCCUACUUAAAUCGAUAGGAUUAAUAUACCCAGAAAAAAAAUCGCGCCGUAAGCGUUGGCUGGGACUUUCAGAAAUCCCCCUGCCGUUACUCCGCGGCCCCAGGACUCUCUCUCUUACUCUCCUUCCUGCCAGUGGUGAGCCCCCACUCCUCAGCUGGAGGGAUUUAGAGAUGUGUUAAAUGCUGCCUGCGGUGAUACAGCAACACUUGGCUUGAGUACCCCUAGGAAUGAACCCCUGUCUGGAAAACGGAAUCAUCCUAUUUCUUCCACCUACACCCAAACCUUUGUACGUAGGGUCUGCAGAAACACAGAAUUAAUAUCUACAGCAAGGAUCUAGAUCAAUGUCUGAAAACAUCUCUGUUCCCCGUAUUUUGUUUGCAUACUUCAAAAACUAUCUCUGUUCAUUUUCUUUUUUGAAGCUCUUUAGCUCCAAUCUUGUAAGCAGUUACAGAUCUGUCUAUGUUCAGCAUUCAGUCCUGUGGAGUCUAUGGGAAUAUAUGCUGUAUGUCAAGCUAAAUACAUACAUAACAAUUUGCAGGAUAAAGGCCUUACUUUCCAUAGUGAAGAAAAAAGAACAAAAAUUAAAAAUCGAGUCCUACACUUCUUUCAUAAGCAAAGCAAACCUGAAGAGUUCGUGAAAUGUGAUAUAUUAGCCAUUUUACUUCAAGGGGAAAUGCCUAAUCUCUCUUUGUCCUGAAUCUUUGACAUCUUCAAGAAGUGUUUCACCACUUUGCAUGCUGUUGCGGAAUACAAAUGAUCAUUUAUUGACACUUGAACCACUUUAAGGGAUUACCAGUUUCAGUAGAAGGAGUUUACUAGCUUCCUUAUAUAUUCCUAUAGAAGAAUUGUAUACAGGUCUACUGUCUCUGGAAAUAAACGAGCCUUUAUUUUUAUCUUGCAGCACAGUCUAAAAAAAGGUUUGUAAUUGUAACAAUUCUUAAUUAGAAGUAUGUUGAUACACUUGCUAAUAGUGUUUGUAUGUCCUAGGAGGGAUACGAUUUUGCUCAAUAACUAGCGUUGCCACAUAUUUCCUGUGGUGAUACUUGGCUGCCCACCUGUUAUAACAGGUCAAAGAACAGAAACAUUUUAUUAUCUGAAAGCAGCGUUCAUUAUUUGUUGAAGUUUGAUGCAGAAAGGUAGAAAACUACUGCUAUGUGAUUUAGGAAAAAGAAAAAGGAAACUGACAUGGCAAAAUAACAUCCAAAGCUACAGGUUUAAAAUGUCAGUUUCUAUAUGUUUCAUUAAAUCCUUUAAAAGUGGGCAUAAAAGGAAGUGUCUGAGUGCUUUUAAGAUUUUGUGUGCAGGCUGUCAGUAUCAGGCAUUAGUAAAAUAGGCAGUGUUUCCCUCUGUCGCUCUCUGAACUGCACUUUCAGUUAUGUUUGUUCUUGUCAGCAGUGCAGGGAGACAUUCUGGCAAAGAUGUGAUUCAAGAGUAGAAGUAGCCUGGAAUAAAUUGGUACAGUAUGUCCCAUUUACAAACAUUUCUAAUUUUUAAUAGUUUUUAAUUAAUUACAAUUGGAUAGUUACGUUUCACAGGUUAAGGUUUUUGUGAAGCCUUCCCAGAAAGCAGUGAGUAGCAAGCAGUUGGGCUAACCAGCUCUGCUACUUGAGCACAGGAGCAUCAUUCUGGCCUUCUUGAUGUACACAUAACAAAUACAUAACUCUCCAGGCUGAGAUCUUCCAAGCCCUGCCAAGGGAGUCAGUCACACAAUAUUAAUCUAUAAAUUGAAGGGUCAGUAUAGGAGAGAGUAUGUAAAAGGUUUAAGGUGCAUGCUAGUAAGGAGCCAUGAGGCUGACUCCUUUUAAGCCAAGCUGAAAUAGCACUCCAAAAACUGGCACAAGGCAUGAGUGAUGGGAGCUAAGGCUAUCUAGAUUCACCUCCAAUUUUCAUCAUUGCUCAAACAAAGUAUUGAGGGGUUUGCAACCCCUCCUCUUUGGGCUUGUCAGUCUAGAGACUUACAAUAAGAAGGUGCAGCUAGGUAUUGUGUUAAAUAGCUCAUGUGCCUCAACUCAUCCAUCAUUCUAAAACUUCACAUUACUAGAUUAAUCUCUUCUUCAUAUUAGUAAUGACAGCUUUCUAAAAUAUAGCUUGACCAGAUACAGGUCAAAGAAGGUAUUAACUUAGUAAUUUGUUCUAAAAUGCUACUCUCUGCAAGUAGUUCAGUGUACAGACUGUUAUAUAUAGCCAUUUUGCUGAGAAAAUACAAAGGCAUAUGGCUCCCAAAAAAACCUGUGUGUACAUCUGGGGAAAAUUCUUGGUUUUUCAUUUGUCCACAGUUAUAGACAUGGAUUUCAUGGGUAUUGCCUCUGAAGCUUGCAACUCCUUUGGUCUUUCUGCAAAGACUGUUGGAAAAUACAUCAGAUCAUGGAUCAUUUUUUCAGCAAAAUCCUGAUAAUGACUCCCUGUUGUUCAAAACUUCCCCUAGGCCAUCAACAUCUUGUAUGCAAUCUCAUUUUAUGAGCUUAUAGCCUAGGGUUUCAGGUACUCAUACAAAAUAAAAGAGUAUGUCUCACCUUAACUGAAUUGCUAUGGAGAUGGCCCUCCCUAGACAAGUAUCAGAAGAAACAUGGAUAAACUUCAGAUAGCACAGUUUCCAAUUCUGUACCAGCUUAUAGCAUGGCCAGCAAAGAGCUGAUGAGGGACGCACAUAAAGCUGUAGUUUAUGUUAAGUUAAGCUUGCACACAACACCUCUCAGUAUUCACACUGGUGCUUUACAGUCUUGGAAGAAAAGCACUAUAAAUGAGCAACUUCAUCAUAUAUCAUGCAGCUGGGUACAGUUCAUCCCAGGCAUUGGCACACUACAUUUUUUGAGUCUGCCUAACUAUCGCUUUUUAAUCCAAGUGAUCUAUCCUUCAUUCAUCUGGAUAUAGCAGAGGUUUACAGACAGACUGUGUCAUACUGACACUACUCACAAAAAAAAAAGGUAGGGGACUCAGAAAAUGUCCUUCUAUGCAAAGCCCAAAAUCAAUUGGAAUUUAUAUUGGAAAAAAUUAUAGGGAAAAAAGACUGUAUCAGCCCACAUCAGUCAGUGCUCCAGUGACCCUUUCAGCCUCAGUCAGGCAUUUCUCUGGUCAUAGCUGGAUUCUCCUUGUGUACUUAAAAGUCAAGGAUACUCAUAGGUCUUAAUCCCUCCUGUUUAAGUCCUAAAAUGGACUACUCUUCAUAGCCUACUAAUAUAUUGGUCAAAAAACAUCAAUAAGGUGACCUCUCAGAGUAUUAUGAGCAACUCACUUUCCCCAGAUGCUGCUUCCAUGGGGCUGUCUCUUACAAGGCCGAGGGGGGGAUGACUGUUUCCAGCCAUUCAGGUUGCCAGUGCAGCAAAGAGGAAUUACCAGUCCAUCGUCCCUUAGCUUUUCAGUUAUGACUAAUUCCCCAAUGAAUUGACGCUGCCUAAUGGGACAGUUGUGUGCUCUUGAGGCUCACAAGUAGGCCAAAGGUAGUGGAUUGGGACAGUGAUCCUAUCUUUAGUGGUUUUUUGGUUGGGUUUUUUUUGUUUUGUUUUUUUCCAGAAGACACUUUCAGUAACAUGUCAGGUUUAACAUAUGGCACUGGGGAAUACACCUUCUGUUUAGUUUAAAAAUUGCUGCUAAGAAAAAUGCUAAGGGAAUGACUUUCUAAUUAAAAGUGAAAACACUGGAUUGUAAAACAAGCUGACACACAGUGAUUUGUGCUGGCUUAAACAUAGCAAGGAAAGGAACAUUCCUUCCAUCGUUUUCUGCUCCUUCACCCUCAUGUCACCUGUAUAAAUGACCUUCUUUCUUACUUGAGUUCAGUGGCAGUAAGCACUAUUUAUGUUUAGUUUCUAACUAGAGAUGUCCAGAUGUCUAGGUACGGCUUUAUCUUGGACAAGUUUUAGGUUUCCUUUUUUAAAGGAACAGAUAUAUGAGGAACGGGCUAUGCAAUGUAAUGUCCUACGUAAUGAGAAGAUGGAAGUUUGCCACGGGACAGAGAGGCUCUCUAGUAAUCUUGAUCCUUUUCUUUCCCUCCUUCCUUUUUUUCUUAUCAUCACCUCUUGCUUUCCUGUCACCUCUCAGGCUGGAAGGAACAUCAGAGGAGGCAUCAAUAGAGCAUUGCCUGUGCACCGCCAGGCCCCAGUGGCCACCUGCUGCUUUCCAUUCACCCUGUACCUUGAAACCAUACCCUCACCACCGUUUGUUGUGGAAUUUACUUCCUUUAUGUUCCAGUCCUUUUAAACUACUCUGUACUACCCUACAAAGUCAUAAUACUUUUUCUUUUUUCAAAAGUCAGCAUUUUCUUUCUCAAGUUUUAGGAUAGGAAUAUCUACUUUCAUAUGAGAACUAAAUAUUUUAAAUUAACUGUUUCGGUGUCUGAGAUGUAUUCUUUUUCCCAGAUGUUCUAUUUUCAUAUUUAUCCACAUCUACUCAGCAACUGAUUUUUCUUUUUCUUCCUUUCAUUUCUUUUUCUUCAUUACAGCAGUAAUUUAAGAAGGAAAACAAGUGUCCUCAUUCUCCACUAGCAAGUUUUAGUUAAAGUGUAUUCCAAUUUAUUUACUACGUUUUUUUUCUAAGUGUUUUUAAACACAGCUUCUUGAAGGGUUUGGUUUUUUUUCCAAGCAUGAACCAUUUCAACUGCACAAGUUCAAUGAUGCCGUGUUUUUAGUAGUGGAAUGCAGAGCAUAGAUAUAAUAGUGUUUGUUUCUUUCACUGAAUAAUUACACUUAAAACUAGCUAAUUGGAAUCAAUUAGUAGUAAGAAGUAAGUCUCAGGGGGAGAAGAAGAAUUAUUUGUGGAAACUCCAGACUGCGUUAAGAACCAACAUUUACAUGGCUAGAUUGUGUCUUAGCUACUGAAUCUUUUUCAUUAAAAAAUACAAGGAACAUUGUAGUGGGCAAGGCAAGGGUUUACUUCCAUUAAAAUUUAGAUUAAACCCCAUUUUUUAAAACAUCUGUGGAUAAUUUCUUCAUCCAUUAAACUCUACAAUAAAUAUUCAGACUUCUGGAGCUGGAUUUCAA